Molecule: ribosomal RNA, 1485 nt
Filed under: Triticum aestivum (bread wheat)
Lineage: Eukaryota; Viridiplantae; Streptophyta; Magnoliopsida; Poales; Poaceae
Description: partial small subunit ribosomal RNA
Source: RNAcentral
AUGCUAUGCCAUGCCAUACCAUUAGGGUUCACCUCCGCCAUGGCAAUGGCAUCAUCGUCCCUCACCGUCCUGCUCAGCUUCCUCUUCCUCGCCAUUGCCGCCGUGGAGCCGGCCUCGGGGACAGCGCAGCACUUUCUGGGAGUCAAUUACGGCAGGCUUGGCGACGACCUCCCGCCCCCGCACAUCGCGCUUGAGCUCGCCCGCUCGGCCGGCGCCGCCGCGGUCAGGUUCUACGACACCAACGCCACCUUCCUGGCCGCGGCCGCGUCCUCCGGCCUCGGCUUUGUCCCGGCCGUCCCUAACGAGCUCAUCGUCUCCCUGGCUGCCUCCCAGCGCGCCGCCGACGCGUGGGUCGCCUCCACGCUCCUCCCCUUCCGUCGCAACCGCCGCCUCCGCUACCUCUUCGUCGGCAACGAGGUGCUCUCCGACCCCACCACCAAGUCCCGCUGGUCCCGGCUCGUCCCCGCGAUAACUAACCUCCGCCGCGCGCUCCGACGAUAUGGCCUCAGCCGUGUCAAGGUCAGCACCACCCUCGGGAUGGACGCUCUCGUCGGCCAGAACGUGUUCCCGCCGUCCGCCGGGGUGUUCCGCCCGGACAUCAUCGACGUCGCCGUGUGCCCGCUCCUCGCCUUCCUCGAGCGCACGGACUCGUACCUUUUCUUUGACGCGUACACCUACUUCACCUGGUCGGCGAAUCACACCGUCGUGCCGCUCACCUACGCGCUGCUCGAGCCGUCGCCGGCGCCGGGGUUCCGGUACCACGACCCCGGAACGGGGCUGUCGUACACCAACCUCCUCGACCACAUGCUCGACGCCGUGGUCGCCGCCAUGUGCCGCGCGGGCUACUGCGGCGUCAGGCUGGCGCUGGCCGAGACCGGCUGGCCCAACGCCGGCGACCUCAACGAGUUCGGCGCCAACGUGCGGAACGCGGCCACGUACAACCGCAACGUGGCGCGGCACCUGGCGUCCGGCGCCGGCACGCCGCGGCGGCCGGGGAUGCGCAUGCCGGCGCUCGUGUUCGCGCUCUUCAACGAGAACGUCAAGGGCGGCCCCGGCACAGAGCGGCACUGGGGCCUCUUCUACCCCAACGGCAGUGCGGUGUACGAGGUCGACCUGACGGGGCGCCAGCCGGUGGCGCCGUACCCUCCGCUGCCGCCGGCCACGAACGACCUGCCGUACCCUGGGAAGCUGUGGUGCGUGGCGAGGACUGACCGCCACGGGGCAUUGGCCAACGAGACGGCGGUGAGGGAGCAGGUGGCGACGGCGUGCGCGGACGAGGCCGGGCUGUGCGACCCCGUGCGGCCCGGCGGCGGGUGCCACCUCCCGGACACGGUGGCCGCGCACGCGAGCUACGUGUUCAGCGCGCACUGGAACAGGUUCAGCAAGCAGUACGGCGGGUGGUGCUACUUCGCUGGCCUCGCCGUGGAGACGACCGUCGAUCCCAGUCAUGGAUCGUGUAAAUUUCCCAGCGUUACACCAGGCUGA